UGGGGAAUAUUGGACAAUGGGCGAAAGCCUGAUCCAGCGACGCCGCGUGUGUGAAGAAGGCCUGCGGGUUGUAAAGCACUUUCGAUGGGAACGAAAUGUGCCGGGUUAAUACCCCGGUAAGCUGACGUUACUCAAUGAAGAAGCACCGGCUAACUCUGUGCCAGCAGCCGCGGUAAUACGUAGGGUGCAAGCGUUAAUCGGAAUUACUGGGCGUAAAGCGUGCGCAGGCGGUUAUGCAAGACAGGUGUGAAAUCCCCGGGCUUAACCUGGGAAUUGCGCUUGUAACUGGCAGGCUAGAGUGUGGCAGAGGGGGGUGGAAUUCCACGUGUAGCAGUGAAAUGCGUAGAUAUGUGGAGGAACACCGAUGGCGAAGGCAGCCCCCUGGGUUAACACUGACGCUCAUGCACGAAAGCGUGGGGAGCAAACAGGAUUAGAUACCCACGUAGUCCCUGAGCGGGCUGGCAAGGCGCAU
RNAcentral lists this ribosomal RNA (472 nucleotides) under uncultured bacterium. Its description in RNAcentral is "bacterial SSU rRNA". It matches the Rfam family "Bacterial small subunit ribosomal RNA", at positions 355 to 825 of the family's 1533-position model. The record is from RNAcentral.